This 254-nucleotide ribosomal RNA is filed under the name uncultured bacterium. RNAcentral describes it as "partial 16S ribosomal RNA". It matches the Rfam family "Bacterial small subunit ribosomal RNA", at positions 524 to 776 of the family's 1533-position model. The record is from RNAcentral.
UACGUAGGGGGCGAGCGUUGUCCGGAUUUAUUGGGCGUAAAGAGCUCGUAGGCGGUUUGGCAAGUCGGGUGUGAAAACUCCGGGCUCAACUCGGAGACGCCACUCGAUACUGCCAUGACUCGAGUCCGGUAGGGGAGUGCGGAAUUCCUGGUGUAGCGGUGAAAUGCGCAGAUAUCAGGAGGAACACCGGUGGCGAAGGCGGAUCUCUGGGCCGAUACUGACGCUGAGGAGCGAAAGCGUGGGGAGCGAACAGG